GUAUAGAACCUACCUUUUACUGGAGAAUAGCCCAGAGAAAUUUGGAUUAAUGCUCCAUAGUAUCAUUUUUUGGCAUCAUUAGGUGAUUAAAGAUUUAUCGGUAAAAGAUGGCUAUGCGUUCUAUUAGCUAGUUGGUAUGGUAACGGCAUACCAAGGCGACGAUAGAUAGGGGUCCUGAGAGGGAGAUCCCCCACACUGGUACUGAGACACGGACCAGACUCCUACGGGAGGCAGCAGUGAGGAAUAUUGGACAAUGGAGGCAACUCUGAUCCAGCCAUGCCGCGUGUAGGAAGACUGCCCUAUGGGUUGUAAACUACUUUUAUAGAGGAAGAAACCGCUCUACGUGUAGAGCUCUGACGGUACUCUACAAAUAAGGAUCGGCUAACUCCGUGCCAGCAGCCGCGGUAAUACGGAGGAUCCAAGCGUUAUCCGGAAUCAUUGGGUUUAAAGGGUCCGUAGCGGGUUUGUAAGUCAGUGGUG
RNAcentral lists this ribosomal RNA (480 nucleotides) under uncultured bacterium. Its description in RNAcentral is "bacterial SSU rRNA". It matches the Rfam family "Bacterial small subunit ribosomal RNA", at positions 117 to 596 of the family's 1533-position model. The record is from RNAcentral.